GGUACCUAAAGUACGUAACCGCAAGGAGCGUCCUAGGGUAAAACCGAUAACUGGGGCUAAGUCGUAACAAGGUAGCCGUACCGGAAGGUGCGGCUGGAAUACCUCCUUUCUGGAG
RNAcentral lists this ribosomal RNA (115 nucleotides) under Pseudomonadota bacterium. Its description in RNAcentral is "Proteobacteria bacterium partial 16S ribosomal RNA". It matches the Rfam family "Bacterial small subunit ribosomal RNA", at positions 1416 to 1533 of the family's 1533-position model. Lineage: Bacteria; Pseudomonadati; Pseudomonadota. The record is from RNAcentral.